Molecule: transfer RNA, 77 nt
Filed under: Coriobacteriaceae bacterium
Lineage: Bacteria; Bacillati; Actinomycetota; Coriobacteriia; Coriobacteriales; Coriobacteriaceae
Also listed under: 5 other names
Description: tRNA-Arg
Rfam family: tRNA
About the family: Transfer RNA (tRNA) molecules are approximately 80 nucleotides in length.
Source: RNAcentral
GCCGACUUAGCUCAGUGGAUCAGAGCGUUCGCCUCCGGAGCGAAAGGUCGUGGGUUCGAGCCCCACAGUCGGCACCA